Pelobates cultripes (western spadefoot toad) is the source of this 243-nucleotide non-coding RNA. Lineage: Eukaryota; Metazoa; Chordata; Amphibia; Anura; Pelobatidae. The record is from the annotation of a GenBank genome assembly.
CUCACUGACACACACACACAGAAACACACUGACAGACAGACACUUACUGACAGACACACACACUUACGGACAGGCGCACACACACACACAGACACUCACUGACACACACAGGCAGACACUCACACACACAGGCAGACACUCACUAACACACACACACACACACAGGCAGACACUCACACACACUCACCUGGGGUCCAGUGUGGGGAACCUCCUCGCUCCUCCAGUGUGCUGCUUAGUAUGCCG